This 716-nucleotide long non-coding RNA is filed under the name Marmota monax (woodchuck). Lineage: Eukaryota; Metazoa; Chordata; Mammalia; Rodentia; Sciuridae. The record is from RNAcentral.
AGGGACAUCACCAGUCUGAGGCCAGCCUGGGCAACUUAAUAUGAGUCCCUGUGUCAAAAUAAAAAAAUAACUCAGCACCUCUGGGUUCCCUUCCAACGCCACAGAUUUCAUUAUUUCAAACCUCUGAUUCUACCCCUUUUCUCCCACCAGUCAAGAAUUUAGGAAAACCACAGUGAGGCCUUCCCUGGUCCUAGCCCGAUGGGCUGGUGUCUGCUUUGAGCCUCUCUCCUGAGACAGGCCAGUCAUCAGGAGGGGAGUGUAGUGAGUGGCCCUACCUUCCCUGCUAAGGGGAAAGAAACGUCACUGGCAAGAUUUCCAGCCUACAUCGUAGCUUUAUAAAGUCAACACGAGGCCUCGAGGAUGGGACGACCUCUGCCUGACCUUCCUUUAAUACACAUGCCCGGUUUCUCUUGGUCACUUGCCUGAAUUCUUUUCAGAGAUCAGGAGCACAAAUGUGUGAUGAAGACACUAGUAGUUUGCCCCAGGUCCCAGCCCCCUUCCCGAGCCAGCUGUGUCCUGUGGCCCAUGUGGAGUUUCCAGGCCUUCAGGAUGUCCUUGGAGCUCCGAGCUCCCCCCUUCAGUGUAGGGACCAGUGAGCCUCCCCGUGUUCUUAUCUGUGAAUCCAGGCAACAACAGUUAGGGAUGUCAUCAUUUCAUGUGGCUCCCAGAUCUUCACCCCCAGCUUCUGGAGCGCUGCUGUCUGCAGCUUUCCACUG